AGAUAAUGCAAAGCCCAUCUGGAAAGCAUGCCACAGCCUCUUCAGAAAGCACUUUGCUUGGAACAAGUUACAUCCUAUUGCUCUUAAAAAGCAGAGGACUCUGAGAGCAAAUCGUCUUGAGAGAUUCUGUUCCCGUGGCAAGAGAUGGGAGAUCACCUCUUCCUACUAAAAACACAUGACUCUUCUUUAUAUUUGCAGAUUUCAUGGUGGUGAAGUAAAUUGUUGCAUAAAAUAUUUUUUUUUUCAGCGUAGGCAGCUGGCUCACAGACUUGUUAGUCUCCUGUCACUGUGGGAUGUCUGCAGAAGCAGAAGAGCACCCGGGUCUCCUCACUAAUGCCCAGGCUCAGCAUUUGUGUAUCGGAAUAUUUCAAAACCUGCAGAUCAGAGCUGACUAGACACAGCAGAGGAUAACUGCACCCCAGAAAAGGUAUAAGCUGAUGCUGAAGGAUACACUCGCUCUCCUUUCUGUGUCUGAAUGAUGUUGGUGAACACAAACCCCAGUUUGGUGCUGUGGUAAGAGCCUACGAUGAAACUUGUGGGCAAACGCUUCUUUCUGUGCUUUUGCAGCAAGCAGCGCAACCCCUCUCAGUCUCCUGUCAUUGGUUAGUGGCAUUAGUGUUUCUGAACAGCAAAACCACAUUUACGGGUUUGUUUGUCUCCAGGUUAUGCAACUUAACUCAUUUCAGACGAGCAAUGAUUUCAUUUGAUAAUAGACUGUAGCUUUGAAACUCAGACAUAGUUGCAGAGGAAAAGAAGAAAACCUGUGCUGCAGUUAACUGUCCUCAACUGUUCUCUGCCAUGCAGAUUUUCAUUGUGUGCUGGUGUUGACUUCUGCCCUAAACACCUACAUGUGUUCACCACGGAUACAGGAAUGUUUAAAUUGAUGACUUGUAUUAUGUUCUCCCCUUUCUCAAAAAGCUGAGUUCAUAUCAUUGCACAAAUGGCAAGUUAGCUCCUUACACCUAAUCUUCUAUUACAUGAGAGUUAGAUAGCACCAAAAGAAAGAAUGUAUUUCUUCUUCACUAGAAAAAAAAAAAAAAAAGAGGCAAAUUGCAAAUCUCUGUAUCAAUAUCUAAAAUGUAGAAAACAUCCCACUUGAAUUCAGUUAGCCUUCAUGAACGGUUUCUGCAGGAAUAAAAGCCUGGAUCCCAUUUUUGUAGACUACUCA
Molecule: long non-coding RNA, 1168 nt
Filed under: Calidris pugnax (ruff)
Lineage: Eukaryota; Metazoa; Chordata; Aves; Charadriiformes; Scolopacidae
Description: lncRNA (ENSCPUG00000003375.1)
Source: RNAcentral